AAGCUCAAAUUUGAAAUCUGGUACCUUUGGUGCCCGAGUUGUAAUUUGGAGAGUACCACUUUGGGACUGUACUUUGCCUAUGUUCCUUGGAACAGGACGUCAUGGAGGGUGAGAAUCCCGUGUGGCGAGGGUGUCAGUUCUUUGUAAAGGGUGCUCGAAGAGUCGAGUUGUUUGGGAAUGCAGCUCUAAGUGGGUGGUAAAUUCCAUCUAAAGCUAAAUACAGGCGAGAGACCGAUAGCGAACAAGUACAGUGAUGGAAAGAUGAAAAGAACUUUGAAAAGAGAGUGAAAAAGUACGUGAAAUUGUUGAAAGGGAAGGGCAUUUGAUCAGACAUGGUGUUUUGCGCCCCUUGCCUCUCGUGGGCUUGGGACUCUCGCAGCUCACUGGGCCAGCAUCGGUUUUGGCGGCCGGAAAAAACCUAGGGAAUGUGGCUCUGCGCCUCGGUGUAGAGUGUUAUAGCCCUGGGGAAUACGGCCAGCCGGGACCGAGGACUGCGAUACUUGUUAUCUAGGAUGCUGGCAUAAUGGUUAUAUGCCGCCCGUCUUGA
RNAcentral lists this ribosomal RNA (547 nucleotides) under Nakaseomyces glabratus. RNAcentral describes it as "[Candida] glabrata partial large subunit ribosomal RNA". It matches the Rfam family "Eukaryotic large subunit ribosomal RNA", at positions 104 to 657 of the family's 3401-position model. Lineage: Eukaryota; Fungi; Ascomycota; Saccharomycetes; Saccharomycetales; Saccharomycetaceae. The record is from RNAcentral.